UCUUGUAAAAUUAGCUGCUAGGCUUGCGCAAGCUGGGUUUAUAUAAUGUUGGUACCAAACAUCAAUAUGCACCUUGUACCUUGGAGGCUGCCAAAUCCCCAGAACAACAGCCUGCUGGGAGUCAUGUGAGGCACCGUCCCACUGCAAACAGCUUUGGGCGGGAGCCCAACUGCAAACUCUUCCUCUCUCUCUCUCUCUUCCCCCACCAACUGAAAUUAGUAAAUGUUUCCACCCGGCAUUUCAGCGGUGACCUCAGGUCUAGAGUUUGGUGAGCCGUACAGAGCCCAUGGGCACACCAGCCCGGGCAACACAAGCUCCACGCUGCCGAGAGGAGAAGCCCGCCGGGACGGGGUGCCCGGGAGAGCCCAGCGCGCUCCUGCACCCAGCAAAGCCGCCGGGGCUGCGGAGAGACGGGGCGGCUGCAGGAGACACCGAUAUGUGCGCGGCACAGAUGGAAAAGGAAGAACCACCUCCAAAUACCUGAGAUACACUGCAAUCAUUUAGACAGAUAAACAUCUUGAUUCCUAGAGAUAACAGGAGUUGUAUGGUUGGCCUCAAAUCCAAGCAUUCGUGACAAUUCUUGAAACAUGAACGUUAUUACUCCCCACUUCCACAACAAUUUACACACAACUGCAAAGAAAACCCUUCCUUCUCCCUUUGCAGCUGGAAAAUGCACUGUGAACACGCUACCCAAAGCCUCGCCGUAGUUGCCAUCCAAGGCACAAAAAGCACUUCUUUGAAAAGAGAGCAGGGAGUUUUUGACAAAAAAUCUAGUUGUUGCCUGCCAGACAUUUUGUUUCUCUUCCCAAGUUGGGAAAGGAGAACGUGGGUCCACCUAAGCAGAUUGCAACUGUGAUAGAAAUUUCUCAGGCUACCCAUUACAAAACAACUACCAUGCGUUCACUCCUCUCUCUUCCUCUCCAAAAAGAGUGGCAGCUGGAAUGAAAGCCACCAAGACCUGUCAAGAGGAGAUCCUGCCCUUUGAGGACCGCAGCUUUGCUCAUGUGGUCAAGUCACAGAGGAAUCCUGGGGAUGCUGCAGGAGUCUGGUCCAGCCAAAGAGCUUGUGGGUGUUCUCUUAUUUUUGCAGUAUCCAUCGUGUAAGGGUGGCACCUGCCACUGUAACAAAACAUUUGCAAAGAGUAAUUUACAUCUGCUACUUAUCCAGCUGCACAUGAACAAAAGCCCCUCCUUGUAUCAUGAAUAAUUUCUUCAGAUACCAGGUGUUGCCUGAUUUCUCCAGAAUGGCCAACUCCUACAAUUUUAUAAUGAGUAGUACUACAUAUAGUGACUUUCCACUAAAAUAACUUCUGCACCUAAGAACCUCAUCCCUCAUUUAAAGUCAGUUUUAAUCUUCUGUGCAUGCAAGGACCUGAGUGCCUCUGACGCACAAACCAGAAGGCAACCUUCCCCCAGCUCUGCAUACUAAAAUCUCAGUAUUUCUAAAGCCAGUCUCAAGAUUACACUUUUUCAGAUGCACAUGACUACUGUCAUGUAAAGAGGAAACACCUCUCAGUAUGCAGGCGCUUCAUUUAAGAAGUUCCAUAAACUGACAAACCAACUGAACUGGUUUGCUGAAAGUACGUUCUACAAAGAGCUUCCUUAGUCCAUCUGUUAAUCUUACAUAGUGCACGUUACCUCCAGAAAGUAAAUGUCUUGUCAGGAAUUACACUUCGAUACCAAGUAUUUCCACUUAGCACACUGCUGUCACUGCUCUUUCAGCCCAGGCACAUAGAAAUGCUCCAUCCGUCGAGACAACAGCUUGAGACUGCAAAGUGAACAGGCUUUGCAAAACAGAGCAGCCAUCGGCAGAACAUCAUUUGGACCAGCGACUGCUGUCCCUGGAGAGUCAUGCUGGGACAAGGAUAAAAUACAGGUGUGCUUCUGACCUUCACACCUCACCUUGUGUUUGCCCCCAUCUCCUCCUAUACUUCUGCCCUCUAAAACCAGAGAGGGUCAGGGCCCAAACCACAAGUGUGACAGUUCUGCAAGAAAAGACAGUGGCCUUCAAGUUGCAGGACAUUUCCAACAGAAGCACUGAUGAUUUCUCAGAAACGGGCUCCAAAUGAGCCUCAUCAGGCCUAUUUCAGAGCCAUGGGAGGGCAAGAUGUGGAGGAGGACUUCAAGGGUUCUUUCAAACGAACUGAAUCAGAGGUUUACCCAACCCCACUCUUUCAGAAGUUUCUGAAUAACGCACCAGCUUGAACCACUGGAAAGAAACAAAUAAAUGAGCUGGCAACUUUCACAGGGAGGAGCCUUGAAGCCCAGUUCCCAAGACCACGCCAACCAGCUCCGUGUGACAGCAUACAGGAAUGAAAAUAGGUAGGUAACAUUAACAGAAAUACACUGAAACUUAAUAACAGCAGCUUGUCAGGACACGCACCAAAGAGAAAUGGCUUAUAAUAGCUACAUCUCGUAUUAUGAAUGUUUCAUAGCCAUCUGGCUAGCAGAGCUGCCUAAACCCAACCGGUGUUUUGUGUGCGCUGUGGUAACCCAUGGUGCAUGCUCUGGAAGGAGACUAUCGAGCUCAAGUCCUAACAUCUGCAUUAAAAAGAGAGACCGUUCCUUUCGUCAGACGAAAAUGCCUUAGAAUAACAACACAGCAAUGAACGGAGCCCCUGAAGAGCUAAGGCUGUGUCCUCCUUUGGUCUACACCAGCAGGCAGAAAUGGAGUUAUCCCAAUUUACACCAAGAUCCAGCCCCAUCGUAUUAACCUCUUCUUGGUUCAGUCAUAACUUCCAUGUGUCUAUCAGUAGUUUAAAGCAAAGGCACAGUUUAAAGGAAAAAGCAAUCCCCCUGCCUUUCCUCUCCUGAUCUGAUUCGCAUACAAAAUGGGCUUAUGAACUCAAAAAUUAUGGGAGGGAUUCAGGGAGGAGGAAAGGGAGACACAAGAGCCCUUUUAUUUUGCGUCUUAUUCACAAUGAAAAUUGGCACAGAAGCCGACCACAUACAUUAACAUAGUUUGGGCAAGUUUAACUCUCAUGAAUACAUUUCUGUGGAAAAACUGUGUGACUAUGGAAAAAUCCCCUCUUUUUUGCCAUUUGAAAAGAUAACAGGCUUCUAUGUGGAACAUACCCAGAACCUGCCCGAUUCAGAGACAUGGAAAUACAAAGAUGAAUAAGGCUGAGUUUCCCAUGCUAGGGGCCCAUGGAAGCUGAGAGGGGAGGAAGAAGUGAGGAGGCCCAUUGACUCAGGAGAAGGACUUUCAUCCUACAGGUGAAGGAAGUAUUUGAAGGCACCAGUAACAUUGCAAGCCUGUUCUAGAGCCCGUUUCAGUCCUUGGCAAACUCCUCAUUGGCUUCACCGGGAUGUGGGUCAGGGCGAAACAGUUUUAAAAUAUAAUCCAAGGCUAUUUCUACAUCACCAUGUCAUGAGUGGGAUACAAAACAGUUCAAGUGUGUGGCUGCUGCUUGGGCUCAAAGUCUCGAUAUUGCACUGAGGAGCUGAGCUCAGGACCUUUUUGGAGGACCAGCUCAGACCAAAGUGCACACUAGACUGCACCCAUGUCUAAGUCAGGCAACCUGGAGGAAGGAAAGUUUCGGCCAAAUGUACUGGAGCAUCAAUUGCACUUCUCCCCUCCUGUAUCUCCAUUGCCCUUCUCCAAACUCAGGCUUAAGGAGGGCUCUCUGUGAGCUGGAGGGUUUGCAAAGAGCAGGAGGUGUAUCUGCUGGACAACAUGGGCAUUCCUUUGUCUGAUGACUUAAGUGCACCCAAAAUCUGGAAUUCAAAGCUAGUCCGCUAGUCCAGCCACAGCGACCUGCACUGCGCUGCGCUGCGAUCCUCUGGCCCAAGCGCAGUCCAGAUCCAGCCUUGAAGGUUCUGCAGAAUUUCACAGUUACACAAAACCCUGCCUCAGACAUCCCUAAUUGCAACCUACAAGCUAUUGCCAUUCCCAUAAAAAAACCCUUUACCUUUCCUCACUGACAUGGUACAGCGCUUGUCCUGCUAUAGUGCUGCAUUUCUGGCAGAGGAUGGUAACCUCAGAAUGACUAUUUUCUUUUGAAUGAACCAGUUUGCUUUAUCUGAUAUGACACUUCACAUUACAAGUCCUUCAUCAGAUCACUUCAGAAGCACGUCAUCACACUGGGCCUUUAAUAUCUUGCUAAUUAGUGUCAUAAAUUACUAAUCGAAUGCUUUAAAUGACUCAUAUUGGUAUGGGAAGUCUCACCAUACAGAACAGUCAGUGAUCUCAGAAGAGGACGCAUCAGAGAAUCAUCCCGUCCUGCCAGGUAACACAGAAUUAAACAGCAGGGUAGGAGAAGGAUGGAGAAUUUUGCUCCACGAUUAGCAAUUCAGAGCCCUUACCACUGUGAUGCAUGUAAGUAUGGCAUAGUUUGAAUCUGUUUAAACAUGUAAUGUCCACUGAUGUAGGUGUGUGGAAGAAGCGGUGUGCACAGAUCCACACACCGAGGGUAAAGGAUCGGCAGAACAGAUCGAAAGGGAGCUUUUUCCCCUGGCACAAUCCAGCCACAGUGCCAGCUCUGCUGCUUUAAUGACACGGAACGCACAUCACCACUGAUGCCAUUGCUAAAUUUGGCUUCACUGGAGCUAUGGGCUUUGGCAGGGAUCAGCAAACAGGAUUUUUCAUGAAUUGUCCAACACUGACCACUUCCAUACGAAGUGGCUAUCUUUGCCUUUUCCAACACAACCAGCUCCAAACAUAACCUAGAGACAAUGUCACACCUGGUUGGCAGCUGGUAAAAGGUAACUGAGUACUUCAGGACCAGUUCUCCAAUGCACAAUUCUGUUCUUUACUGGGCUAGGCUGGAGAGAGGUCAGCAGGGCUUGAGGUAGAUUUGUCUGAGCAACCUUUCACUCCUUGGCCUGGUUUUUCCCUAGGAGCCAGCCUGAUCAUCACUUGCCUUGCAGCAAAGGACAGGUUUUUUCUCACCUAACUCCCAACAAUGUUGAUAUCUACAUCUGCUCAGCCACACUCACCUCCCACCAGAGUUAAUGGAGCGAGAAGGCACUUUUGGGGAGUAAAUGACCUGGCCCAGAGCAGAUGCCUCCCUUAGGAUGAGAUCAGUAUCGCUCCUUGACAGCUGCGAAGACCAUUUAGCUCUAGACCAGCUGUACACAGCCUGAGGAAUCCCACCCCAAGUGAAUGGUCAGAUGCUGAGCUGCUGUAACACAUUAAAAGCGUGGUUGUUUCACACACACUAUUUGCCUUAUUUGCAUCCUUUGCUCCUUGCCCACCUAUUUUGCCUUGUUCUAAGUUGCCUUUUGUGACUGGCCCCAGGACAAGGAACCCGCUGCUGUUCCUACACCUCCAACAAGCAACAAGAACAUGAAGACCUCCACGUGUGCUGCUCCAGCACAAAGGCUUGAAGCAGAACUGGCUAGCCAGGUUCUUACAUGUAGACAUAAAGCCCCACCAGGGACCUUUACAAACAUCUCUGCUGGUCUCCUGCAUUACCAGUCAGUGUUUCACCCAGCACAUUUCUGAACUUAGAAAGCUACAUGGUUCGCUGGUAUAAUUACAGGUAUAUUCCCGUAGGAUUUGACACCACUGGUUAACCAAACAUUGUGCAUUAGCUCCUAAGAGAAAGGCAUUAUUUAUUUUACCCACACGAGGUUUAUCUUGUAGUAGCCAUCGACUUUCCAUGAAAAGAUCACGCUCUACUACUACACAUCAGCCAUUACAGGCAGCUCUUAAACUUUAAUAUCUCCAAAGGAACAACAAUUGUGACCUGUUCAAUAUUUUAUAUUUGCAGACAAGCGGAAUGAACUCACUGGAAUCAGCAGGGGGUGUAUGUUCAGCUGCUCGGAGCAAUAUUCGGGCAGCUGAGAUCAGAGAGGCAAUGCCCUGUGAAUGUGCCAUUCAACAGACAGCAGAGCGCAGGGUUUGCAUGGCAGACAUCAAAGUGUUGUGUAACCUGCAGAUGUUUUCCACGCAGAGGCUGAAAAAAGUGAUGGACAAGAUUUUGUAAAUCCUGUGCUGUGUUUUUUUCUUCAUUUGCUCCCUUACAUACCCGUUUCCUUGCCUUUUCUUGAAUGGAAGAAUGAAACCAUUAAAAAUGAUGGGUUAUAUCCUUAA
Molecule: long non-coding RNA, 6036 nt
Organism: Columba livia (rock pigeon)
Lineage: Eukaryota; Metazoa; Chordata; Aves; Columbiformes; Columbidae
Exons: 2
Source: RefSeq, a predicted model, not a curated record